This 512-nucleotide ribosomal RNA is filed under the name uncultured bacterium. RNAcentral describes it as "bacterial SSU rRNA". It matches the Rfam family "Bacterial small subunit ribosomal RNA", at positions 17 to 518 of the family's 1533-position model. The record is from RNAcentral.
UUAUGGCUCAGAUUGAACGCUGGCGGCAGGCCUAACACAUGCAAGUCGAACGGUAACAGGAAGCAGCUUGCUGCUUGCUGACGAGUGGCGGACGGGUGAGUAAUGUCUGGGAAACUGCCCGAUGGAGGGGGAUAACUACUGGAAACGGUAGCUAAUACCGCAUAAUGUCGCAAGACCAAAGAGGGGGACCUUCGGGCCUCUUGCCAUCGGAUGUGCCCAGAUGGGAUUAGCUUGUUGGUGAGGUAACGGCUCACCAAGGCGACGAUCCCUAGCUGGUCUGAGAGGAUGACCAGCCACACUGGAACUGAGACACGGUCCAGACUCCUACGGGAGGCAGCAGUGGGGAAUAUUGCACAAUGGGCGCAAGCCUGAUGCAGCCAAUGCCGCGUGUAUGAAGAAGGCCUUCGGGUUGUAAAGUACUUUCAGCGGGGAGGAAGGGGUUAAGGUUAAUAACCUUAGCCAUUGACGUUACCCGCAGAAGAAGCACCGGCUAACUCCGUGCCAGCCGCGGC